UACAGAGGCCCCAAGCGUUAUCCGGAAUCACUGGGCGUAAAGGGUGUGUAGGUGGUGUUAUUAGUCAUUUGUUAAAGACCCCGGCCUAACCGGGGGAAAGCGAAUGAAACGGUAACGCUAGAGGAUGCGAGGGGUGUGUGGAACUCAUGGUGUAGGGGUGAAAUCCGUUGAUAUCAUGAGGAACACCAAAAGCGAAGGCAACACACUGGCGCAUUCCUGACACUGAAACACGAAAGCGUGGGUAGCGAACGGG
This 253-nucleotide ribosomal RNA is filed under the name uncultured bacterium. RNAcentral describes it as "partial 16S ribosomal RNA". It matches the Rfam family "Bacterial small subunit ribosomal RNA", at positions 524 to 776 of the family's 1533-position model. The record is from RNAcentral.